UGAUUCUCUAACACUGGAUAUUUUUCUGAUUUUAUUUAGGUAAAUUUGUACCUAUUUUAAAAAUAUCUUCACACAAAAUCUCUAAUGCAAUUUCCAGUGGUUGCUCUAAUCCCUCAAAUCAUGAAUGUCGAAAGAAAUUACAUACAGAUAAUUAUCUGUGUCAUCCACAACUUGAAAUGUAAAAAAUCAGCAAAACUUGAAUUCCUAAGAUGUGUUCAGUAUUUGUCAAGUUUUAACUUUAGGAAUCAAGAACAUAGGUCUUUGCUUCUUUAGCUUUUUAUCUAAAUAACAUACUAUUUUCCUUUCAUGUUUGAGAAAUUUCUUUUUCACUUGUACCUUUUGUUAAAAUAUUAUCACAUAAUUUAAAAACCAACAGUGGUCAUCUAUGAUCAUAACUAUUAGCUGGCACUUUUCUUAACUAUCUGAUGUUUUGUUUUAAUUCCUUUGUUUUAAUUGCUGUUUUUGCCUCUUCUUAUUGAUGGUAGGGGACAGGGAGAAUGAUUUUCAUCUUUGGGCCUGGACAGUUUCACAGAAUAUCAAAUACAACAUCAGAUUUUAUGUUUGCGAAAAUUCCAGGAAAAGGUGUCGUAAAGAUGAAGAAGAAAAUAUGCAUUGAACUCCACCUUGGUUAAACAGAUUUAUCUUCUCAUGAAAAUUAUGUUUGCACUAGGAAGAGAGACAAGGAAUAAAUACAAAAGAACAAGGAGAACGUAAAUGGAGGCGACUUUAAAGUGAAUCUUGCUUUAAUACCUUUUAUUUUAACCUGCGGAUUGAAGGUGAGCCUUAUUGUUGAUGUGCAAGUGACCCUGAGCCCUUUCCAGUGAUCCAGCUUCAAAGAGGCCUCAGGUUUCCACCUGUGCUGGGAGAUGCCUUCCAUGACUUCCACAGAAGCCGCCAGGUGCCCGAGCUCUUGGGUGUUGGCUUGACGGUGUGAGCGGUCUUGUUUGCCUGCACCCUUCAUUUCCACCUGUCUCUCAUGUGGGUUGCACGGCUUGUUGAUUGUCUCUGGUUCUUUUUUCUUUCUCUUGUUGAUUUCUUAGGAGGGGAAAACCCUUUUAGCGUGCAUCCAGGUAGGAUCAAAGUUUCGAACAUAAUAAUGCAUAAGGAAUACAUUUAAGUGUAACAACCCAGUGCCCCUUUCACAGAUGAGGGUUGUCUAUUUAGAAGCAAUUUGUGGUGCUUAACCCCUGUCCUCGCUUUCCAAGUUAUCAGCCAAACAUUUCACAGGAAAGGAAGACAGUAAAUAAAGUCCGUAAAUGGCAUGCCACGGACAUGAGUUCAGCCAAGCUCUGGUGAUUCUGUGAGUUCAUUUUAAGGUUGCGUUUUCAGAGCUGCUUUCCACAGCAGCAUCGCCUGAGUCCAUGGCUGGGAGGUAUCCACCAGUGCCCAGUGGUGCUGAAGACUUCUUCCUGGUUACAAUUAUCUGGUGAUGUCAUACCAACCCAAUGGCAUGUUGGAUUCUGCCAAAUUCAUCCAUGUGUCUCAAGCUCCUGCUUUGUGCUAUACACUGUCUGGUCCCAAGGGCAACAAAGUGCAAACCCAGACCUGUGUCUGCAGGAGGCAUGGUCUUCCCUGUCUCAGGCCCCACCUCCUCUUCUGGUUAAAUCAACUGUGC
This 1615-nucleotide long non-coding RNA is filed under the name Marmota monax (woodchuck). Lineage: Eukaryota; Metazoa; Chordata; Mammalia; Rodentia; Sciuridae. The record is from RNAcentral.